This 253-nucleotide ribosomal RNA is filed under the name uncultured bacterium. RNAcentral's name for it is "partial 16S ribosomal RNA". It matches the Rfam family "Bacterial small subunit ribosomal RNA", at positions 524 to 776 of the family's 1533-position model. The record is from RNAcentral.
UACGUAGGGGGCAAGCGUUGUCCGGAUUCAUUGGGCGUAAAGCGCGUGUAGGCGGCCAGGUAGGUCCGGUGUGAAAACUCGAGGCUCAACCUCGAGAGGUCAUCGGAAACCAUCUGGCUAGAGUCCGGAAGAGGAGAGUGGAAUUCCCGGUGUAGCGGUGAAAUGCGCAGAUAUCAGGAAGAACACCCGUGGCGAAGGCGGCUCUCUGGGACGGUACUGACGCUGAGACGCGAAAGCGUGGGGAGCGAACAGG